CCCCGAAGGGUGGCCUUGUCCAGAUAGUGGCAAACCUCCCUGCCGUGGAUGAGUCAGGAGCAUUUUCUUAAGAGGAACAUCACUGGAAAACAAAAUGAGCGGGGACACAGAAACCAACAGCAGUGGCUGCAUUUGUGGUACAGGCUCCUCUUCCAGAGCUCGCUGAUGCCCACCUCAGACAGGCCUGACCACGGCACGGCUGGUGGGAUUUGCCAGUCACCUCAACCAGCCAGUUCCACCCUCAGCUUCUCUCAGAAGGGAGCACCACACUCCUCAAGCUCAGUGAAUGUAUCCCGGCAUGGGUGGGGCCAGAGCCUGUGAUAUCUCGAGGUGGGCUCGGCAGGACACCGGGGUGUGGAAGGGGGAAGCGAGCACCUGACUCAGACAGCGCGGGAGCUCGCAGGAGUCACGAGGCCACAGCGACUUCAUUGUCUGACUGGGCCUGGACCUAUAAACUUCCCACCUCAGCCUUGGGCCAAGCCUGGAAGAUAAAAAUGGAGCACCCCAUGGCGCCCCUCACUCAGAUUCUCCCCUGGGCUUCUCCCACGCAGCCCCAGAAGAGGACACACCAGCCCCAGAGUUAGCCCCAGAGGCCCCUGAGCCUCCUGAAGAGCCCCGCCUAGGAGUGCUGACCGUGACCGACACAACCCCAGACUCCAUGCGCCUCUCGUGGAGCGUGGCCCAGGGCCCCUUUGAUUCCUUCGUGGUCCAGUAUGAGGACACGAAUGGGCAGCCCCAGGCCUUGCUCGUGGACGGCGACCAGAGCAAGAUCCUCAUCUCAGGCCUGGAGCCCAGCACCCGCUACAGGUUCCUCCUCUAUGGCCUCCAUGAAGGGAAGCGCCUGGGGCCCCUCUCAGCUGAGGGCACCACAGGGCUGGCUCCUGCUGGUCAGACCUCAGAGGAGUCAAGGCCCCGCCUGUCCCAGCUGUCUGUGACUGACGUGACCACCAGUUCACUGAGGCUCAACUGGGAGGCCCCACCGGGGGCCUUCGACUCCUUCCUGCUCCGCUUUGGGGUUCCAUCACCAAGCACUCUGGAGCCGCAUCCGCGUCCACUGCUGCAGCGCGAGCUGAUGGUGCCGGGGACGCGGCACUCGGCCGUGCUCCGGGACCUGCGUUCCGGGACUCUGUACAGCCUGACACUGUAUGGGCUGCGAGGACCCCACAAGGCCGACAGCAUCCAGGGAACCGCCCGCACCCUCAGCCCAGUUCUGGAGAGCCCCCGUGACCUCCAAUUCAGUGAAAUCAGGGAGACCUCAGCCAAGGUCAACUGGAUGCCCCCACCAUCCCGGGCGGACAGCUUCAAAGUCUCCUACCAGCUGGCGGACGGAGGGGAGCCUCAGAGUGUGCAGGUGGACGGCCGGGCCCGGACCCAGAAACUCCAGUUCCUGACGGUCCCACACAGUUGCGUGCACUGAACUUGACCGAGGGAUUCGCCGUGCUGCACUGGAAGCCCCCCCAGAAUCCUGUGGACACCUAUGACGUCCAGGUCACAGCCCCUGGGGCCCCGCCUCUGCAGGCGGAGACCCCAGGCAGCGCGGUGGACUACCCCCUGCAUGACCUUGUCCUCCACACCAACUACACCGCCACAGUGCGUGGCCUGCGGGGCCCCAACCUCACUUCCCCAGCCAGCAUCACCUUCACCACAGGGCUAGAGGCCCCUCGGGACUUGGAGGCCAAGGAAGUGACCCCCCGCACCGCCCUGCUCACUUGGACUGAGCCCCCAGUCCGGCCCGCAGGCUACCUGCUCAGCUUCCACACCCCUGGUGGACAGAACCAGGAGAUCCUGCUCCCAGGAGGGAUCACAUCUCACCAGCUCCUUGGCCUCUUUCCCUCCACCUCCUACAAUGCACGGCUCCAGGCCAUGUGGGGCCAGAGCCUCCUGCCGCCCGUGUCCACCUCUUUCACCACGGGUGGGCUGCGGAUCCCCUUCCCCAGGGACUGCGGGGAGGAGAUGCAGAACGGAGCCGGUGCCUCCAGGACCAGCACCAUCUUCCUCAACGGCAACCGGGAGCGGCCCCUGAACGUGUUUUGGGACAUGGAGACUGAUGGGGGCGGCUGGCUGGUGUUCCAGCGCCGCAUGGAUGGACAGACAGACUUCUGGAGGGACUGGGAGGACUAUGCCCAUGGUUUUGGGAACAUCUCUGGAGAGUUCUGGCUGGGCAAUGAGGCCCUGCACAGCCUGACACAGGCAGGUGACUACUCCAUGCGCGUGGACCUGCGGGCUGGGGACGAGGCUGUGUUCGCCCAGUACGACUCCUUCCACGUAGACUCGGCUGCGGAGUACUACCGCCUCCACUUGGAGGGCUACCACGGCACCGCAGGGGACUCCAUGAGCUACCACAGCGGCAGUGUCUUCUCUGCCCGUGAUCGGGACCCCAACAGCUUGCUCAUCUCCUGCGCUGUCUCCUACCGAGGGGCCUGGUGGUACAGGAACUGCCACUACGCCAACCUCAACGGGCUCUACGGGAGCACAGUGGACCAUCAGGGAGUGAGCUGGUACCACUGGAAGGGCUUCGAGUUCUCGGUGCCCUUCACGGAAAUGAAGCUGAGACCAAGAAACUUUCGCUCCCCAGCGGGGGGAGGCUGAGCUGCUGCCCACCUCUCUCGCACCCCAGUAUGACUGCCGAGCACUGAGGGGUCGCCCCGAGAGAAGAGCCAGGGUCCUUCACCACCCAGCCGCUGGAGGAAGCCUUCUCUGCCAGCGAUCUCGCAGCACUGUGUUUACAGGGGGGAGGGGAGGGGUUCGUACGGGAGCAAUAAAGGAGAAACUGAGGUACCCGG
Molecule: RNA transcript, 2783 nt
Organism: Homo sapiens (human)
Lineage: Eukaryota; Metazoa; Chordata; Mammalia; Primates; Hominidae
Gene: TNXA
Gene name: tenascin XA (pseudogene)
Exons: 13
Source: RefSeq, marked validated